Molecule: long non-coding RNA, 793 nt
Filed under: Rattus norvegicus (Norway rat)
Lineage: Eukaryota; Metazoa; Chordata; Mammalia; Rodentia; Muridae
Description: long non-coding RNA NONRATT026218
Source: RNAcentral
UCCUCCUCUCGAAUACUAGUUCAUCCCUGGGAAGUUGGUUUUGGUGACCCUUUCUUUCUCACUUCCACCCUCCUUUGGAGACCUUGUUUAUUCUCCUGUGCCCCCCAAUACACACAUGUGUAACAUCUACUUAAUUUUUCCUCGUUUGACCAAAUCCUGGCAUUACUGUCACACCAAUUAUCUCUCUUUCUAUGGAGUUUAUUGUCCCAAGAAAUUAUGUUGCAGAAUGGAGAAAAGCAGGGCUUAUACAGGUUCAGUGGACCUUACAGAGAUAACACAGAUGGAUACACUCCCAGUCAUGCACCACAGAAAUGGGUCCCACUGUGACUUUAGCAUCCACCCCUACCCUAUUAUGGCCGAGAAUGGCCAAGUGCCUAUGUCGUAUCCCACUCCUGAGUUUUCAAGAAAUCUGGUAAGUGUGUCUAAGAAGGUGCGAGUCAGCUUCUGUGCUUUGCUGACUGCAGCAUCUUUUGUGCUUCGGAGAGUUAAUCCUGUUUUGUUGAAAAUUGUUUUUAUCUUUUGUUAUCUUCAACUUUAAAAUGGACAAAACUUUACAGCAAACCUAUUUUUUUCUCUUUACACAUUAAUAGUAAUAUCUUCCUUACUCUUCUAGAAAGGACGGCACCUGCUGUCCCGAUACCUGAGUUGUCUCUGCUUAGACUUUCGUACAGAACUCGUAAUUACCUGGUGUGUUGUGUAGAUGCAGGUUGUUAAAGCUCCCAUUUAGUCCUUCACAUUCCCUUCACACAGAGGCAGGGGCUGCCUGUACGACCCUGUGGUGCCUGGCCUUUGA